RNAcentral lists this non-coding RNA (372 nucleotides) under Pan troglodytes (chimpanzee). The record is from RNAcentral. Lineage: Eukaryota; Metazoa; Chordata; Mammalia; Primates; Hominidae.
CCAUGAAAGGCUGGAUUGGAUGCCCAGAAUGAAAACAGUGGAGCUCAAGGAGGAUGAUUAGCAAAACAAGGAAAAGCAGGAGACAUAGACUAUGAAAAACCUGGGUCACGAACAGGAUAUUUCCCACAAAAUGUUUUGACCUGGAAAAGAGACAAGAGUCUUCACUAGUAAACAGGAUCUAAUCUCCAUAGUAUAUUUUUCUAAAGAAACAAGAGCUUUCAGUCCUAAAGUAAUUUGCUAGACUAGAAUCACUGACCAGCAGACCUAAAUUCAAGCUUCAAUAUUAAGAUUGUUGAUGGAGGAAACUGUCAUGGAAAUGGCAAUUUCUUAACUCUUUAUAAUAAAAGCAGAUUCAAUGUCACAAGAAUUAAA